Long non-coding RNA from Daucus carota subsp. sativus, 437 nucleotides. RefSeq lists it as uncharacterized. NCBI's taxonomy places the organism in Eukaryota, Viridiplantae, Streptophyta, Magnoliopsida, Apiales, Apiaceae. The record is from RefSeq and is a predicted model, not a curated record. The transcript has 4 exons.
AGGUUGAGGAGGAAGCUGAUGCAGACCUUGGUAGCUCAACCCAGGCAAUGAAAUCCUAUCGAGAACACCACAACGAACGCGAGAGGAGGCGUAGAGAUAAAAUAAGUGACAGGAUAGAUCAGUUGCGAGAACUUGUGCCCGGCUGCAAAAAGACAGACAGAGGUUCGGUGCUGGAGGAAACAUGCCGCUACUUGAAAUCACUCCAGAAUCAAGUAAACAUGUUACGCAACAGGGGCACCGGCACGGUCACCAGCACGGGCACGGGCACGGGCACGGGGGUGAGUAUGAACCUGGCUACGGUGCACUUCCACGUACCUGUGCCAGUUUGUACAUUGCAAAUUCCUGCUAACACAGCAGCUAAUUUGCCACCGGUUGCUAAUUAUAAUAUGCAUGGUCAACACUGUUGCUGUUUCUAUCACACAGGAUAUUAUCAUCAA